Molecule: ribosomal RNA, 1478 nt
Filed under: uncultured Bordetella sp.
Lineage: Bacteria; Pseudomonadati; Pseudomonadota; Betaproteobacteria; Burkholderiales; Alcaligenaceae
Description: partial 16S-23S ribosomal RNA intergenic spacer
Rfam family: Bacterial small subunit ribosomal RNA
Source: RNAcentral
GUUCGAUCCUGGCUCAGAUUGGAACGCUGACAAGAUGCUACACAUGCAAGUCGAACGGCAGCACGGACUUCGGUCUGGUGGCAGUGGCGAACGGGUGAGUAAUGUAUCGGGGCGUGCCUAGUAGCGGGAUAACCCGAAAGCGUAGCUAAUACCACGCCACGCCCUUCCGGGGAAAGCGGGGGACCUUCGAGACUCCGCUGGUAAACGACCGAUAUCGGAUGGCUAGUUGGUGGGUAACGGCUCUCUGCGACGACGAUCGUAGCUGGUUUGAGAGGACGACCAGCCACACUGGGACUGAGACACGGCCCAGACUCCUACGGGAGGCAGCAGUGGGGGAAUUUUGGACAAUGCGGAAGCCUGAUCCCAGCCAUCCCGCGUGUGCGAUGAAGGCCUUCGAUUUGCAAGCACUUUUGGCAGGGAAAGAAACGGCACGGGAUAAUACCCCGUGCAACUGACGGCAUGCCUGCAGAAUAAGCACCGGCUAACUACGUGCCAGCAGCCGCGAUGGUAAUACGUAAGUGCAAGCGUUAAUCGGAAUUACUGGGCGUAAAGCGUGCCGCAGGCGGUUCGGAAGAAAGAUGUGAAAUCCCAGAGCUUAACUUUGGAACUGCAUUUUAACUACCGAGAGCUAGAGUGUGUCAGGAGGUGGAAUUCCGCGUGUAGCAGUGAAAUGCGUAGAUAUGCGGAGGAACACCGAUGGCGAAGGCAGCCUCCUGGGAUAACACUGACGCUCAUGCACGAAAGCGUGGGGAGCAAGCAGAAGUUAGAUACCCUGGUAGUCCACGCCCUAAACGAUGUCAACUAGCUGUUGGGGCCUUCGGGCCUUGGUAGCGCAACCUUAACGCGUGAGAUUGACCGCCUGGGGAGUACGGUCGCAAGAUUAAAACACAAAGGAAUUGACGGGGACCCGCACAAGCGGUGGAUGAUGUGGAUUAAUUCGAUGCAACGCGAAAAACCUUACCUACCCUUGACAUGUCUGGAAUCCCGAAGAGAUUUGGGAGUGCUCAUAAAGAACAGACACAGGUGCUGCAUGGCUGUCGUCAGCUCGUGUCAUUGAGAUGUUGGGUUAAGUCCGCAGCGAGCGCAACCCUUGUCAUUAGUUGCACCACGAAAGGGCACUCUAAGCUGAGGCUGCCGGUGACAAACCGAGGAGGAAGGUGGGGAUAGCGUCAAGUCCUCAUGGCCCUUAUGGGUAGGGCUUCACCGUGCCACAAUGGUCGAGACAGGGGGUCGCCAACCCGCGAGGGCAAUCCCAGAAACCCGAUCGUAGUCCGGAUCGCAAUCUGCAACUCGACUGCGUGAAGUCGGAAUCGCUAGUAAUCGCGGAUCAGCAUGUCGCGGUGAAUACGUUCAGGGUCUUGUACACCGCCCGUCACACCAUGGGAGUGGGUUUUACCAGAAGUAGUUAGCCUAACCGUAAGGAGGCGAUUACCACCGGUAGGAUUCAUGACUGGGGUGAAGUCAUGGCACAAGGUAGC